GAUGAACGCUGGCGGCGUGCCUAAUACAUGCAAGUCGAGCGAACACACCAGGCGCUUUCUCCUCUGACGUUAUCGGCGGAGGGGUUAUUAACACGUGUUUAACCUACCUCUAAGACUCUGAUACCUUCGGGAAACCGCAUCUCAUACCGGAUAAUAUAUUGCCCAACAUUGUUCCAUAGUGAAAUACGGUUUUUCUGUCACUUAUAGCUGGAUCCGCCCCGCAUUAGCUAGUUGGUAAGGUAACUGCUUACCAAGGCAGCGAUGCGUAGCCGACCUGAGAGGGUGAUCGGCCACACUGGAACUGAGAAACGGUAGAGACUCCGACGGGAGGCAGCAGUAGGGAAUCUUACGCAAGGGGGGAGAGCCGGACGGAGCAACGCCGCGGGAGGGAUGAAGGUGUUCGGAUCGGAAAACGAUGAUAGUAGGGAAGAACAAAUGUGUAAGUAACUAGGAAGGUAUUGACGGUACCGAAACAGAAAGCCACGGCUAACUACGUG
RNAcentral lists this ribosomal RNA (497 nucleotides) under uncultured bacterium. RNAcentral describes it as "partial 16S ribosomal RNA". It matches the Rfam family "Bacterial small subunit ribosomal RNA", at positions 28 to 507 of the family's 1533-position model. The record is from RNAcentral.